This is a long non-coding RNA of Triticum urartu, 1098 nucleotides long. RefSeq lists it as uncharacterized. NCBI's taxonomy places the organism in Eukaryota, Viridiplantae, Streptophyta, Magnoliopsida, Poales, Poaceae. The record is from RefSeq and is a predicted model, not a curated record.
GGGGACGUCGGGGUGGCUGGACGCGGGUUGACUGCGACGACCGGCGGUGGAUUGACCCGCGGUUACAAGGACGGACGGACGGGGUCGAUGCGGCUACGCGUGGGCCCCGCCCGUCAGCGGGAGGCGCGAGCGGUGGCGUGGACGUGCGGCCAGUGCCCAGUCGUGUGAAAGCGCGCCGUCGCCGGUCCGUCCACCGGCUGUCAACGGCAGCGGCGCGCGGCGGUGGCCGGCGGCGCAGGCAGGCAACAGAAUUCGAGGGCGUCUGGGUCGGCUAUCUGGGGACUAUUAGCACAUGGUACAGUAAUGGUCAUGAGCAAGUGGUGGCCAUUGUGGUACAAGUUGCAAAACAAGACACAAGGCGAGUGUCGAUGGACGUUGCCACUGGAGCCUGGGAAAAAACCUAAAAUUUAAAAAGUGCACGCGCACUAUUCAGAGAGAACGGGCGGCCGGCUCCUGGCCGCUCAAUCUCCCUCCUAUCGAUGCGUGCUUGGUCAGGUGCCACAUGGUCGGAAGACCUCCCCCUCCUCGCCACUCCGCCACCGAUCCAAACCUCCUCUGGCGAAAUCGUACCUCACCGCGGUCCACGGGCAUCUACCCCGACCCUCUCCCCUAGCCCCUUCCCUUGUCACGAGAGAAGAGCAGAGAGGAGAGGAGGGAGAUCGAGCGACCAGACUAGAUCAGGCAGCCGACAGCUACAAGGGAUUCUUCAACCUGGGUGCCCCUCCAUGGCGUGCGCUUCUGCUUCGAUUUGUGCCCCCGAUGCCAUGCCUGGUGCCCCAAAGGAAGGCGGAACCUCUAGGUGUGGCUACAGCGGUUGGGAGAGAAGGAAGUAGGAGCUUGCUCUAGCCUGGAGAGGAUAGGAGGAGGAAGCGCGGGUGGAGGAUUGUGUCCAAUCUGGAGAAAGAAAAAGAAGAAGGUUGCUAGGAAUGGAGUUCUUCCGUGUCCGCCAUUUUUGCUUUUUGCUAAGUGCAUUCAUGUUGAAUCUAGCAAGACGAGCAUAAGCUGGAGUGCUGCCAUUGCUUUGGUUGCGGUGCCACUGAAAUCUAGUUGGCUUAUAAUAUAGUCUAAUUGCAUAUAUUGAUAUUUAGUUGACAGGAA